RNAcentral lists this ribosomal RNA (433 nucleotides) under uncultured bacterium. RNAcentral's name for it is "partial 16S ribosomal RNA". It matches the Rfam family "Bacterial small subunit ribosomal RNA", at positions 29 to 507 of the family's 1533-position model. The record is from RNAcentral.
AACGAACGCUGGCGGCAUGCCUAACACAUGCAAGUCGAACGAGACCUUCGGGUCUAGUGGCGCACGGGUGCGUAACGCGUGGGAAUCUGCCCUUGGGUUCGGAAUAACAGUGAGAAAUUACUGCUAAUACCGGAUGAUGUCUUCGGACCAAAGAUUUAUCGCCCAGGGAUGAGCCCGCGUAGGAUUAGCUAGUUGGUGGGGUAAUGGCCUACCAAGGCGACGAUCCUUAGCUGGUCUGAGAGGAUGAUCAGCCACACUGGGACUGAGACACGGCCCAGACUCCUACGGGAGGCAGCAGUGGGGAAUAUUGGACGAUGGGCGCAAGCCUGAUCCAGCAAUGCCGCGUGAGUGAUGAAGGCCUUAGGGUUGUAAAGCUCUUUUACCCGGGAUGAUAAUGACAGUACCGGGAGAAUAAGCACCGGCUAACUCCGUG